GACGAACGCUGGCGGCGUGCCUAAUACAUGCAAGGAGAACGCUGAAGCUUGGUGCUUGCACCGAGCGGAUGAGUUGCGAACGUGUGAGUAACGCGUAGGUAACCUGCCGGGUAGCGGGGGAUAACUAUUGGAAACGAUAUCUAAUACCGCAUAAGAGUAGAUGUUGCAUGACAUUUGCUUAAAAGGUGCAAUUGCAUCACUACCAGAUGGACCUGCGUUGUAUUAGCUAGUUGGUGAGGUAACGGCUCACCAAGGCAACGAUACAUAGCCGACCUGAGAGGGUGAUAGGCUAAACUGAGACUGAGAAACGCCCCAGCCUCCUCCGGGAGGCAGCAGUCCGGACUCUACGGCACUGGACGGCAGUCUGCCCCAGCAACGCCGCGUGCGUGAGGCAGGUCUCCGGAUCGUAAAGCUCUGUUGUAAGAGACGAACGGGUGUGAGAGUGGAAAGUUCACCCUCUGCCGGUAUCUUAACAGAACGGGACGGCUACCCACGUG
Molecule: ribosomal RNA, 497 nt
Filed under: uncultured bacterium
Lineage: Bacteria
Description: partial 16S ribosomal RNA
Rfam family: Bacterial small subunit ribosomal RNA
Source: RNAcentral